Phasianus colchicus (ring-necked pheasant) is the source of this 1020-nucleotide non-coding RNA. The record is from RefSeq and is a predicted model, not a curated record. NCBI's taxonomy places the organism in Eukaryota, Metazoa, Chordata, Aves, Galliformes, Phasianidae.
GUCGGGGGUCAGCGUGGCCAGAGCUUCUUCCGGCCGCUGGGAGCGGGUGAGGCUGCGGCGGCGAUUUUUCCCCUAGUUUAUUAAUGAGAGCAAGGAUACAGCAGGCGUCCCGAGCCGUGGAUGGUCAGUAAGGCGGCCAGCGCCCCGCAGGAACCAUGGCCUAUCAGCUGUACCGGAACACCACGCUGGGCAACAGCCUGCAGGAGAGUCUGGACGAGCUUAUCCAGAAGAACGACUCAAAACUUGUUUUUACACCACUUCAGUCACAGCAAAUCACUCCUCAGCUGGCCCUUCAGGUGCUACUUCAGUUUGAUAAAGCUAUAAACUCGGCACUGGCACAACGAGUCAGGAACAGAGUCAAUUUCAGGGGAUCUCUGAAUACAUACAGGUUCUGUGACAACGUAUGGACAUUUGUACUGAAUGAUGUUGAAUUUAGGGAAGUCACUGAGCUUGUGAAAGUGGAUAAAGUGAAAAUUGUAGCAUGUGAUGGAAAAAAUCAUGUGAUUUAGCAAGAUAUGCUUGUGACUGACUGCAGUAAAGUGCAUAGCACUGAGUUAGAGCAAAGCCUACUCUAUUUUUGGUACCUUGCUAGCAGAUGAUAUGUAUGCACAGCCUUGAAGUUUUGCAGUAGCUCUUCUCGGUAUCACUAAAUGAAGUGAAACAGCACAAGCAGUCCAUGCCUCGCAUCAUAGCAGUAAAGUGAGUUGGACACUGGUUCCAAUGCUGCAGAAUGAAUAGAACUGUGGUUUGCCUGCAAUAUUUUCUGUUAAUACGCAGCACUUUCUGGAGAGAAGCAUGGAAAGGGACUGUGUUUGUACUUGCAUUACUUGCAUCUUGUGAUGCAGAUGUGAGUUAAUCCGUACUAAAAAAGCAUCACAGGAAAACAGUGGAAGAAAUACCUGUAGCAUUUCUUCAGUUCACCAUGUGGGGCAUGAAGAACACAAUGUUACUUCUUUUUUAAAAAGUUACAACGAUACUGUUGCCUUUUUUGUUCAAAAUAAUUUCUCUAAUAAACUUUUA